This 180-nucleotide unclassified non-coding RNA is filed under the name fungal sp. RNAcentral's name for it is "partial internal transcribed spacer region". The stretch from base 1 to 46 matches the Rfam family "Eukaryotic small subunit ribosomal RNA", at positions 1786 to 1831 of the family's 1831-position model. Lineage: Eukaryota; Fungi. The record is from RNAcentral.
AAGUCGUAACAAGGUUUCCGUAGGUGAACCUGCGGAAGGAUCAUUAGUGAGUUUUCUUAAAAAAGAAGCCACACUUGUGCACUGUUUUAUUUUUAUUACAUACUCUGUUAUUUAUUUUUAUACUUUAUGUAUAAAAGAAAAAACAAAAUACAACUUUCAACAACGGAUCUCUUGGCUCUC